GCGAAAUCAAACCAAUGUAAUUAUAGUUCAUCGAUAUACUAUGGUGGUCAAGACCUCUAUACUUUACCGGAGAGUACCCAGGGCUCUUUCUUUACAUCUUUCACAGAUGAGGCAGGAGAUGACUCGAACAUGGCUUCGAGAGGCAACUGGUGGCUAGGAUCUCUUUAUUACUAGCUGAUCAUCACCAUGGCCUGUGAAUUUACUACAUAGUUACCUAGGGAGACAGAGAUAGAUGUUGGGCAGCAGCAGUUUUUUCAUACUUCCUGCAAUAAUGGAAAAAUAGAUAGAAAAUAGCAGUUAGCCUUUCAUUUGUUAUGUCAAAUGUUUCCCCUUUUAGCAUCUAUACUACCAGGAUGUUAAAGUGUUAAACUUGGUGAUUUUAGCCUUUUCGGCUGUAGAAUGUAUAUAUAUUAUGCUCAUCUAUCUUAAUAUCAACAUUUCUU
Long non-coding RNA from Olea europaea var. sylvestris, 443 nucleotides. RefSeq lists it as uncharacterized. The transcript has 4 exons. Lineage: Eukaryota; Viridiplantae; Streptophyta; Magnoliopsida; Lamiales; Oleaceae. The record is from RefSeq and is a predicted model, not a curated record.